This 498-nucleotide ribosomal RNA is filed under the name uncultured bacterium. Its description in RNAcentral is "partial 16S ribosomal RNA". It matches the Rfam family "Bacterial small subunit ribosomal RNA", at positions 29 to 507 of the family's 1533-position model. The record is from RNAcentral.
ACGAACGCUGGCGGCGUGCCUAAUACAUGCAAGUCGAGCGAAGUUUUUCUGGUGCUUGCACCGGAAAAACUUAGCGGCGAACGGGUGAGUAACACGUAAAGAACCUGCCUCAUAGACUGGGACAACUAUUGGAAACGAUAGCUAAUACCGGAUAAUAGCAUUAACUGCAUGGUUGAUGUUUAAAAGUUGGUUUUGCUAACACUAUGAGAUGGCUUUGCGGUGCAUUAGCUAGUUGGUGGGGUAAAGGCCUACCAAGGCGACGAUGCAUAGCCGACCUGAGAGGGUGAUCGGCCACACUGGGACUGAGACACGGCCCAGACUCCUACGGGAGGCAGCAGUAGGGAAUCUUCCGCAAUGGGCGAAGGCCUGACGGAGCAACGCCGCGUGAGUGAAGAAGGAUUUCGGUUCGUAAAGCUCUGUUGUUAGGGAAGAAUGAUUGUGUAGUAACUAUACACAGUAGAGACGGUACCUAACCAGAAAGCCACGGCUAACUACGUG